Molecule: long non-coding RNA, 462 nt
Organism: Humulus lupulus (European hop)
Lineage: Eukaryota; Viridiplantae; Streptophyta; Magnoliopsida; Rosales; Cannabaceae
Exons: 2
Source: RefSeq, a predicted model, not a curated record
CGUGAAGCCUGUUAUGGUCAUUCUACAUUAGAGAUUAAAAACGGAACCCACGCAUUCUAUCACUGGAACCGAAAUAAUGAUGGGAAAAAAGUACCAACUGAUGAUGUGAUAUUCCACAAUCAGUACUGGGCAAGCAACAUGGGGAGGAGGUGACUGAAGAAGAAUCGUUCUAAGGCCGGAGAGGAAUGAAUUGCUUAAAAUAUUUGGAUCAUAUUGCUUAAACAUUUAUCAGAUCAUGCUUUCUAGAAGACAACAAUUAAGUUCAUGGAUAAUUUUCCAAUAUAUGCCUGGCUCGUUAGUUUGUGCAGCAUAUGAAAGGUGGUAAUGUUACUAUUGUACCAUAUACUUAGUUGUAAAAAGUAAUUGAAAAGCAAAAGUAUGGUAGUUGCCAUUGUACUUGAAUUUUGAAAUCUGGCUGGGUUUCGAUAAAUGAAAAUUUUGGAAUAGUUUAACAUUACUAAA